UAUCCCCUCCCCUGCGUCCCCCUGCGCCCACCGCCCUCACUGUGUCGUCGCGAGGCUGCAGUUCGAAGAGUCUCCUUCCCGAAUUCAGAUUCACACCCUGCUGAACAUCUCUACACACCUAACCAGGAAUUGGGACCCAGCAUCCAGAUAAGGGUUCGUUUUUCUCUGGUGCAGCUUAGGGCUGUGUGCUCAGAACACCACGGGCAGGUGAACAUGGCAGAGACAUUGGAGUUCAACGACAUCUUCCAGGAGGUGAAAGGGUCCAUGAAUGAUGGGAGGCUUCGAUUGAGCCGUCAGGGUAUCAUCUUUAAGAACAGCAAGACGGGCAAAGUGGACAACAUCCAGGCCGGGGA
RNAcentral lists this long non-coding RNA (353 nucleotides) under Rattus norvegicus (Norway rat). RNAcentral describes it as "long non-coding RNA NONRATT018329". Lineage: Eukaryota; Metazoa; Chordata; Mammalia; Rodentia; Muridae. The record is from RNAcentral.